UACGGAGGGUGCGAGCGUUGUCCGGAAUCACUGGGCGUAAAGGGCGCGUAGGUGGCCCGUCAAGCGUGUGGUGAAAGCCCGGGGCUUAACUCCGGGUCGGCCAUGCGAACUGGCGAGCUUGAGCACUGUAGAGGCAGGUAGAAUUCCGGGAGUAGCGGUGGAAUGCGUAGAGAUCCGGAAGAAUACCGGUGGCGAAGGCGGCCUGCUGGGCAGUUGCUGACACUGAGGCGCGACAGCGUGGGGAGCAAACAGG
This 253-nucleotide ribosomal RNA is filed under the name uncultured bacterium. RNAcentral describes it as "partial 16S ribosomal RNA". It matches the Rfam family "Bacterial small subunit ribosomal RNA", at positions 524 to 776 of the family's 1533-position model. The record is from RNAcentral.